This 465-nucleotide ribosomal RNA is filed under the name Vreelandella stevensii. RNAcentral describes it as "partial 16S ribosomal RNA". It matches the Rfam family "Bacterial small subunit ribosomal RNA", at positions 338 to 795 of the family's 1533-position model. The record is from RNAcentral. Lineage: Bacteria; Pseudomonadati; Pseudomonadota; Gammaproteobacteria; Oceanospirillales; Halomonadaceae.
CCUACGGGCGGCAGCAGUGGGGAAUAUUGGACAAUGGGCGAAAGCCUGAUCCAGUCAUGCCGCGUGUGUGAAGAAGGCCUUCGGGUUGUAAAGCACUUUCAGUGGGGAAGAAAGCCUUGGGGCUAAUACCCUCGAGGAAGGACAUCACCCACAGAAGAAGCACCGGCUAACUCCGUGCCAGCAGCCGCGGUAAUACGGAGGGUGCGAGCGUUAAUCGGAAUUACUGGGCGUAAAGCGCGCGUAGGCGGUCUGAUAAGCCGGUUGUGAAAGCCCCGGGCUCAACCUGGGAACGGCAUCCGGAACUGUCAGGCUAGAGUGCAGGAGAGGAAGGUAGAAUUCCCGGUGUAGCGGUGAAAUGCGUAGAGAUCGGGAGGAAUACCAGUGGCGAAGGCGGCCUUCUGGACUGACACUGACGCUGAGGUGCGAAAGCGUGGGUAGCAAACAGGAUUAGAUACCCCUGUAGUC